AUUGAACGCUGGCGGCAGGCCUAACACAUGCAAGUCGAGCGGUAGCACAGAGAGCUUGCUCUCGGGUGACGAGCGGCGGACGGGUGAGUAAUGUCUGGGAAACUGCCUGAUGGAGGGGGAUAACUACUGGAAACGGUAGCUAAUACCGCAUAACGUCGCAAGACCAAAGUGGGGGACCUUCGGGCCUCAUGCCAUCAGAUGUGCCCAGAUGGGAUUAGCUAGUAGGUGGGGUAACGGCUCACCUAGGCGACGAUCCCUAGCUGGUCUGAGAGGAUGACCAGCCACACUGGAACUGAGACACGGUCCAGACUCCUACGGGAGGCAGCAGUGGGGAAUAUUGCACAAUGGGCGCAAGCCUGAUGCAGCCAUGCCGCGUGUGUGAAGAAGGCCUUCGGGUUGUAAAGCACUUUCAGCGGGGAGGAAGGCGGUGAGGUUAAUAACCUCAUCGAUUGACGUUACCCGCAGAAGAAGCACCGGCUAACUCCGUGCCAGCAGCCGCGGUAAUACGGAGGGUGCAAGCGUUAAUCGGAAUUACUGGGCGUAAAGCGCACGCAGGCGGUCUGUCAAGUCGGAUGUGAAAUCCCCGGGCUCAACCUGGGAACUGCAUUCGAAACUGGCAGGCUAGAGUCUUGUAGAGGGGGGUAGAAUUCCAGGUGUAGCGGUGAAAUGCGUAGAGAUCUGGAGGAAUACCGGUGGCGAAGGCGGCCCCCUGGACAAAGACUGACGCUCAGGUGCGAAAGCGUGGGGAGCAAACAGGAUUAGAUACCCUGGUAGUCCACGCCGUAAACGAUGUCGAUUUGGAGGUUGUGCCCUUGAGGCGUGGCUUCCGGAGCUAACGCGUUAAAUCGACCGCCUGGGGAGUACGGCCGCAAGGUUAAAACUCAAAUGAAUUGACGGGGGCCCGCACAAGCGGUGGAGCAUGUGGUUUAAUUCGAUGCAACGCGAAGAACCUUACCUGGUCUUGACAUCCACAGAACUUAGCAGAGAUGCUUUGGUGCCUUCGGGAACUGUGAGACAGGUGCUGCAUGGCUGUCGUCAGCUCGUGUUGUGAAAUGUUGGGUUAAGUCCCGCAACGAGCGCAACCCUUAUCCUUUGUUGCCAGCGGUUAGGCCGGGAACUCAAAGGAGACUGCCAGUGAUAAACUGGAGGAAGGUGGGGAUGACGUCAAGUCAUCAUGGCCCUUACGACCAGGGCUACACACGUGCUACAAUGGCAUAUACAAAGAGAAGCGACCUCGCGAGAGCAAGCGGACCUCAUAAAGUAUGUCGUAGUCCGGAUUGGAGUCUGCAACUCGACUCCAUGAAGUCGGAACCGCUAGUAAUCGUAGAUCAGAAUGCUACGGUGAAUACGUUCCCGGGCCUUGUACACACCGCCCGUCACACCAUGGGAGUGGGUUGCAAAAGAAGUAGGUAGCUUAACCUUCGGGAGGGCGCUUACCACUUUGUGAUUCAUGACUGGGGUGA
Molecule: ribosomal RNA, 1463 nt
Filed under: uncultured Klebsiella sp.
Lineage: Bacteria; Pseudomonadati; Pseudomonadota; Gammaproteobacteria; Enterobacterales; Enterobacteriaceae
Description: bacterial SSU rRNA
Rfam family: Bacterial small subunit ribosomal RNA
Source: RNAcentral